This 681-nucleotide ribosomal RNA is filed under the name Staphylococcus sp. LW3-LEVI1-W. RNAcentral describes it as "bacterial SSU rRNA". It matches the Rfam family "Bacterial small subunit ribosomal RNA", at positions 125 to 792 of the family's 1533-position model. Lineage: Bacteria; Bacillati; Bacillota; Bacilli; Caryophanales; Staphylococcaceae. The record is from RNAcentral.
CCUACCUAUAAGACUGGGAUAACUUCGGGAAACCGGAGCUAAUACCGGAUAAUAUUUCGAACCGCAUGGUUCGAUAGUGAAAGAUGGCUUUGCUAUCACUUAUAGAUGGACCUGCGCCGUAUUAGCUAGUUGGUAAGGUAACGGCUUACCAAGGCAACGAUACGUAGCCGACCUGAGAGGGUGAUCGGCCACACUGGAACUGAGACACGGUCCAGACUCCUACGGGAGGCAGCAGUAGGGAAUCUUCCGCAAUGGGCGAAAGCCUGACGGAGCAACGCCGCGUGAGUGAUGAAGGUCUUCGGAUCGUAAAACUCUGUUAUUAGGGAAGAACAAACGUGUAAGUAACUGUGCACGUCUUGACGGUACCUAAUCAGAAAGCCACGGCUAACUACGUGCCAGCAGCCGCGGUAAUACGUAGGUGGCAAGCGUUAUCCGGAAUUAUUGGGCGUAAAGCGCGCGUAGGCGGUUUUUUAAGUCUGAUGUGAAAGCCCACGGCUCAACCGUGGAGGGUCAUUGGAAACUGGAAAACUUGAGUGCAGAAGAGGAAAGUGGAAUUCCAUGUGUAGCGGUGAAAUGCNCAGAGAUAUGGAGGAACACCAUUGGCGAAGGCGACUUUCYGGUCUGUUACUGACGCUGAUGUGCGAAAGCGUGGGGAUCAAACNGGAUUAAAUACCCCUGGUA